CCUACGGGAGGCAGCAGUGGGGAAUAUUGGACAAUGGGGGGAACCCUGAUCCAGCCAUGCCGCGUGUGUGAAGAAGGCCUUAUGGUUGUAAAGCACUUUAAGCGAGGAGGAGGCUACUUUAGUUAAUACCUAGGGAUAGUGGACGUUACUCGCAGAAUAAGCACCGGCUAACUCUGUGCCAGCAGCCGCGGUAAU
Molecule: ribosomal RNA, 195 nt
Filed under: uncultured Acinetobacter sp.
Lineage: Bacteria; Pseudomonadati; Pseudomonadota; Gammaproteobacteria; Moraxellales; Moraxellaceae
Description: partial 16S rRNA
Rfam family: Bacterial small subunit ribosomal RNA
Source: RNAcentral